This 300-nucleotide signal recognition particle RNA is filed under the name Saimiri boliviensis boliviensis (Bolivian squirrel monkey). RNAcentral's name for it is "Metazoan signal recognition particle RNA (ENSSBOG00000015975.1)". It matches the Rfam family "Metazoan signal recognition particle RNA". Rfam says of the family: The signal recognition particle (SRP) is a universally conserved ribonucleoprotein. It is involved in the co-translational targeting of proteins to membranes. The eukaryotic SRP consists of a 300-nucleotide 7S RNA and six proteins: SRPs 72, 68, 54, 19, 14, and 9. Lineage: Eukaryota; Metazoa; Chordata; Mammalia; Primates; Cebidae. The record is from Rfam by way of RNAcentral.
GCCGGGCGCGGUGGCACAUGCCUAUAGUCCCAGCUACUCGGGAGGCUGAGGUGGGAGGAUCGCUUGAGCCCAGGAGUUCUGGGUUGGAGUGCGCUAUGCCGAUCAGGUGUCUGCACCAAGCUCAGCAUCAAUACGGUGACCUCCAGGGAGCGGGGGACCACCAGGUUGCCUAAGGAGGGGUGGACCGGCCCAGGUCGGAAACGAAGCAGGUCAAAACUCCCGUGCUGAUAAGUAGUGGGAAUGCACCUGUGAACAGCCACUGCACUCUAGCCUGGGCAACAUAGCAAAACCCCAUCUCUU